AUGAUGGUGGACUUCAGGAAAGUCACAGCCCCUUUGCCCCCCCUUGCCCUCAUGGACUCCCCCAUCACCAUCACGGACUCCUUCCGCUUCCUGGGCACCACCAUCACCCGGGACCUUAAGUGGGAGCCAACCAUCAGCUCCCUCAUCAAGAAGGCCCAGCAAAGGAUGUUCUUCCUACGGAAGCUGAGGAGGCUCAAACUGCCUCCCAGGAUGUUGGCGCAGUUUUAUACGGCCAUCAUGGAGUCCAUCCUCCCCUCCUCCAUCCUCCCCUCCUCCAUCCUCCCCUCCUCCAUCCUCCCCUCCUCCGUCCUCCCCUCCUCCGUCCUCACCUCCUCCGUCCUCCCCUCCUCCAUCCUCACCUCCUCCAUCCUCCCCUCCUCCGUCCUCCCCUCCUCCGUCCUCCCCUCCUCCGUCCUCACCUCCUCCAUCCUCCCCUCCUCCAUCCUCACCUCCUCCAUCCUCACCUCCUCCAUCCUCCCCUCCUCCGUCCUCACCUCCUCCAUCCUCCCCUCCUCCAUCCUCCCCUCCUCCAUCCUCACCUCCUCCAUCCUCCCCUCCUCCAUCCUCCCCUCCUCCAUCCUCCGUCCUCACCUCCUCCAUCCUCCCCUCCUCCAUCCUCCAUCCUCACCUCCUCCGUCCUCCCCUCCUCCAUCCUCCCCUCCUCCAUCCUCCCUCCUCCGUCCUCACCUCCUCCGUCCUCCCCUCCUCCGUCCUCCCCUCCUCCGUCCUCACCUCCUCCAUCCUCCCCUCCUCCGUCCUCACCUCCUCCGUCCUCCCCUCCUCCAUCCUCCCCUCCUCCAUCCUCCCCUCCUCCGUCCUCACCUCCUCCAUCCUCCCCUCCUCCCCUCCUCCGUCCUCCCCUCCUCCGUCCUCCCCUCCUCCAUCCUCCCCUCCUCCAUCCUCCCCUCCUCCAUCAUGGUGCUAUGCUGGUGCCACCGUCAGGGACAGACUGAGGCUGAGAAGGUGAUGGGCUGCAGGCUUCCAUCCAUCCAGGACCUGUAUAUCUCCAGGACCCGGAGGUGUGCAGGUCGGAUCACGGCCGACCCUUCCCACCCUGGUCACGGACUGUUUUCCCCCCUCCCCUCAGGCAGGAGACUACGGUCCAUUCGGACCAGAACCUCCCGCUACACGAACAGCUUCUUCCCCUCUGCCAUCAGGCUGCUGAACACCAAGUGA
This 1176-nucleotide long non-coding RNA is filed under the name Takifugu rubripes (torafugu). RNAcentral's name for it is "lncRNA (ENSTRUG00000029352.1)". The record is from RNAcentral. Lineage: Eukaryota; Metazoa; Chordata; Actinopteri; Tetraodontiformes; Tetraodontidae.